CAGUAGCCGCGGUAAUACGUAUGUCACAAGCGUUAUCCGGAUUUAUUGGGCGUAAAGCGCGUCUAGGUGGUUAUGUAAGUCUGAUGUGAAAAUGCAGGGCUCAACUCUGUAUUGCGUUGGAAACUGUGUAACUAGAGUACUGGAGAGGUAAGCGAAACUACAAGUGUAGAGGUGAAAUUCGUAGAUAUUUGUAGGAAUGCCGAUGGGGAAGCCAGCUUACUGGACAGAUACUGACGCUAAAGCGCGAAAGCGUGGGGCGCAAACAGGAUUAGAUACCCGCGUAGUCCCUGUCUCUUAUACC
This 301-nucleotide ribosomal RNA is filed under the name uncultured bacterium. RNAcentral describes it as "partial 16S ribosomal RNA". It matches the Rfam family "Bacterial small subunit ribosomal RNA", at positions 509 to 808 of the family's 1533-position model. The record is from RNAcentral.